CAGGUAUAAAUAAGAUAAGAAGAGAGCAAGGAAGUAAAAGAAAGGAAGGAAGGAAAUAAAGGAAAGAGGGAGGGAGGGAGGCAGGGAGGAAGAAGAUUCCUCUUUUAUCUUCCAUCUGCUUGUCACAUUCAGGAGACAUGUGUAUGAGUCAGAAAGAUGAUAAAUGGUUGACUCUAUAGAAUGUUAUUGUAAAGCGAAUGCAUCUACAAUAGGACCAAUCCUAUUAGUAAAUAUCAGAGAACAGCUGCUUUUUUUAAUGGGCUAAAUAUGAAAUCAUCUCGACUAUGGAAUUCUUCUGCUAAUUCAUAGAUAUAAGUUUUCACUGCUAGUAGCUA
Molecule: long non-coding RNA, 335 nt
Filed under: Pan troglodytes (chimpanzee)
Lineage: Eukaryota; Metazoa; Chordata; Mammalia; Primates; Hominidae
Description: long non-coding RNA NONPTRT011464
Source: RNAcentral